RNAcentral lists this ribosomal RNA (467 nucleotides) under uncultured bacterium. RNAcentral's name for it is "bacterial SSU rRNA". It matches the Rfam family "Bacterial small subunit ribosomal RNA", at positions 30 to 517 of the family's 1533-position model. The record is from RNAcentral.
AUUGAACGCUGGCGGCAUGCUUUACACAUGCAAGUCGAACGGUAACAGGCCUUCGGGUGCUGACGAGUGGCGAACGGGUGAGUAAUGCAUCGGAACGUGCCCAAUCGUGGGGGAUAACGUAGCGAAAGUUACGCUAAUACCGCAUAUUCUGUGAGCAGGAAAGCAGGGGAUCGCAAGACCUUGCGCUGAUUGAGCGGCCGAUAUCAGAUUAGCUAGUUGGUGAGGUAAAGGCGUCACCAAGGCGACGAUCUGUAGCGGGUCUGAGAGGAUGAUCCGCCACACUGGAACUGAGACACGGUCCAGACUCCUGCGGGAGGCAGCAGUGGGGAAUAUUGGACAAUGGGCGAAAGCCUGAUCCAGCAAUGCCGCGUGAGUGAUGAAGGCCUUAGGUUGUAAAGCUCUUUUACCAGGGAUGAUAAUGACAGUACCUGGAGAAUAAGCUCCGGCUAACUCCGUGCCAGCAGCCG